CAGCAGCCGCGGUAAUACGAAGGGUGCAAGCGUUACUCGAAAUUACUGGGCGUAAAGCGUGUGCAGGCGGUUAUAUAAGACAGGCGUGAAAUCCCCGAGCUUAACUUGGGAACUGCAUUUGAAACUGGCAAGCUAGAGUCUUGUAGAGGGGGGUAGAAUUCCAGGUGUAGCGGUGAAAUGCGUAGAGAUCUGGAGGAAUACCGGUGGCGAAGGCGGCCCCCUGGACAAAGACUGACGCUCAGGUGCGAAAGCGUGGGGAGCAAACAGGAUUAGAUACCCGCGUAGUCCCUGUCUCUUAUAC
This 301-nucleotide ribosomal RNA is filed under the name uncultured bacterium. RNAcentral describes it as "partial 16S ribosomal RNA". It matches the Rfam family "Bacterial small subunit ribosomal RNA", at positions 509 to 807 of the family's 1533-position model. The record is from RNAcentral.